AGAGCGAACGCUGGCGGCAGGCCUAACACAUGCAAGUCGAGCGCCCCGCAAGGGGAGCGGCAGACGGGAGAGUAACACGUGGGAACGUGCCCUUUGGUUCGGAACAACACAGGGAAACUUGUGCUAAUACCGGAUAAGUCCGUAAGGAGAAAGAUUUAUCGCCAAAGGAUCGGCCCGCGUCUGAUUAGCUAGUUGGUGAGGUAACGGCUCACCAAGGCGACGAUCAGUAGCUGGUCUGAGAGGAUGAUCAGCCUCACUGGGACUGAGACACGGCCCAGACUCCUACGGGAGGCAGCAGUGGGGAAUAUUGGACAAUGGGCGCAAGCCUGAUCCAGCCAUGCCGCAUGGAUGAUGAAGGCCCUAGGUUGUAAAGUCCUUUCGGACGGGAAGAUAAUGACGGUACCCGUAGAAGAAGCCCGCUAACUUCGUGCCAGCAGCCGC
Molecule: ribosomal RNA, 441 nt
Filed under: uncultured bacterium
Lineage: Bacteria
Description: SSU rRNA
Rfam family: Bacterial small subunit ribosomal RNA
Source: RNAcentral